Unclassified non-coding RNA from Macaca fascicularis (crab-eating macaque), 158 nucleotides. It matches the Rfam family "Metazoan signal recognition particle RNA". Rfam says of the family: The signal recognition particle (SRP) is a universally conserved ribonucleoprotein. NCBI's taxonomy places the organism in Eukaryota, Metazoa, Chordata, Mammalia, Primates, Cercopithecidae. The record is from Ensembl.
GCUGGGCAUGGUGGCACAUGCCUGUAGUCCCAGCUACUCAGGAAGCUGGGGUGGGAGGAUGGCUUGAGCUCAGGAGUUGAGGCUGUAGUGCAGUAUGGUUACACCUGUGAAUAGGCCCUGCACUCCAGCCUGGGCAAUAUAGCAAGACCCUAUCACUU